Long non-coding RNA from Drosophila pseudoobscura, 1139 nucleotides. RefSeq lists it as uncharacterized. The record is from RefSeq and is a predicted model, not a curated record. The transcript is spliced from 2 exons. Lineage: Eukaryota; Metazoa; Arthropoda; Insecta; Diptera; Drosophilidae.
CGCUCGUAUCUCCUGCUGUGUGGUGGGUCUGUCUCUGUCUCUGUCUCUGUCUCUGCGAAGGCGAAGUGCAUUUAUCCCAUUUUCGGUACGUCCUAAUGAGUAGUCUCCGAGUUUAUUCUGCGCUGUGGCAGUCGUGUGUGUCGUCUACUUUUAGUUCCUUCUCUCUGUCCGAUCUGUUCUUUAGUCGGAAAGGACAAAACGUGCGCUAAAUAAAGAUUGUGUGCCUUUUUGGCAUCGCCUUUGCCCUGUGCAUUUCCACAAUCCGUAAGCGUUGAUAGUCAGACAGCCAGAAACGGAACCCAAACGAAACGUCACAUUUGAAAUUCCAAUAUCCGAGAACCCAAGCAAAAGCAUCUCAAUAAUUGUGGCCCCUCCCAGUUCUUAGUGUAUAGAUAAUUGAUAUGCCUAUCAAGAAAAUCCUUCAGGCUCAGAAGUCUUCUGAUAAGCAAAAACUCACCUUUUCCAUCUAGCGUCCAGCAAAGUGGCUCCCAAAGUUACGUAUUCAAUAAAUUGACCUUUUUCAGUGUGUUUAUGAUCCUUCCAGUUCCCGGGCCAGCUGUUGCUUUUGUCGUAUGAUAUUUUGGGGUUUAGCUGGUGUUUGUAGAUGUUGUUGUAGCAUAUACUCGUAUAUAUAUGUAUAUAUAGUAUGUAUAUCGAUUAGCACACACACAAUGGAGCAUUGGCCAUAGCGAUUGCGUUUUGGACAUCGAUUGCGAUUGCGACUGCGACUGCGACUGGUGAAUGGUGUCGUUGAGGCAUUUACUUUUCGCGGACCGCUUGUCGUACUUAAACAAAUGAUAGACACUGACACGAGACAACACCGAAGAACACAGAUUUCUUAUAAUUAUUAAUUUAGGCAAAGGCGGCGGCGUAGGGUGGUGCCGUCGGUUGGUGUGCGUAAUAGGAUAACGGCAACAGCGGCAAACAACAACAACGAUUGACGAUGAUGAUUACAAUUACGAUGACGACGACGACGACAAGUAUUGUACAUAUGUACAGGGGGGAGGCAGAAACACACAAAAAUACACAGACACAAACACACGCACACACACAGAGACACAGAGAACGAGAAAUACACUCACGCGCGAUUAUUGAUAGACAGACAAACGGUUAGAUUAACGCGGAUCGGAUAUCAAAGA